AUAAUUGUUCACUUCUACUACUUCUUCUGAAUAACGAGUCAAUGCAACUAAUUUAAUACCAUCAAGAUCAGAUGUUCCUUCUUCUAAAACAAAAAAAAAAUUAUUAAUGAAAACUUCCCUGGAUAAGAACAUUAACAACUUAUGAGCUAAUUAUUGGAUAAAACUUUCCUAAAAUGAAGAUGGCCGUUUCAUCAAAACAAGUAAACGAGCAAU
Molecule: long non-coding RNA, 213 nt
Filed under: Arachis ipaensis
Lineage: Eukaryota; Viridiplantae; Streptophyta; Magnoliopsida; Fabales; Fabaceae
Description: long non-coding RNA (AIPA_LNC002020)
Source: RNAcentral